This 255-nucleotide ribosomal RNA is filed under the name uncultured bacterium. RNAcentral's name for it is "partial 16S ribosomal RNA". It matches the Rfam family "Bacterial small subunit ribosomal RNA", at positions 524 to 776 of the family's 1533-position model. The record is from RNAcentral.
UACGUAGGGCGCAAGCGUUGUCCGGAAUUAUUGGGCGUAAAGAGCUCGUAGGCGGUUUGUCGCGUCUGCUGUGAAAACCUGAGGCUCAACCUCGGGCUUGCAGUGGGUACGGGCAGACUAGAGUGCGGUAGGGGAGACUGGAAUUCCGUGGUGUAGCGGUGGAAUGCGCAGAUAUCAGGAGGAACACCGAUGGCGAAGGCAGGUCUCUGGGCCGCAACUGACGCUGGAGGAGCGAAAGCAUGGGGAGCGAACAGG